RNAcentral lists this long non-coding RNA (1031 nucleotides) under Felis catus (domestic cat). Its description in RNAcentral is "lncRNA (ENSFCAG00000045419.2)". Lineage: Eukaryota; Metazoa; Chordata; Mammalia; Carnivora; Felidae. The record is from RNAcentral.
GGGGUCCUUUUCUUAAAUAUCAUGGCUGCUUUUGGUCCUGCUGCAGAUGCCCUUCUAGCAAGGAUAGAGGAAAUGUUAGGGGAGGGAGGUAAGGUUGCAGAAAUGGGCCAGGAGCCUGCAGUGAUAAGUUCUUUGACUGAUUCUCCCCUGCUCACUACCAGCCUGCCUGUUGCUACUCAUGCCUGCACACAGCGGGCCCUACGUUCUCAAGGUUCUGCAGCAAGACCAGAGGAACCCACGAGGCGGCUCUGACUUUCUCAUUAGGAAUUUCUGUUUUCGUAGGAGAGGCGAACCUGCAGGAAUCUGUGACUCUAUGUGCACCUUCAAUUUGGUCCAUCGUUUGUGAUUGACUUUCUUGUGGCCCUCCGUGAAAAAGCCAAGGUUAAAUUCACGGUGCCUACCGAGACCGCACGUGUUUUCAUCUUUUCAGACCCUAGGCUUACCACACAUUUCCUGGGCAUGGAACUGACCGGCCAUCCUGUACCCUGGCCUUCUAGCGACAGCAUGAAAACGUGUGCGUUCGCAGAUGGAAGAAGUUCACACCAGGCACAAGCUGUAACCAGAUCAUAUGAGCAGCGUUUACGCUUUGUCUAAUUCAAACUGACCCAACCUCCUAAGAAAAAGAAGGACUUCCUCCGGUUAUAGAGGUUUUAAGAACAGCUAGACCCAGGAUUCUGAGAUUUGGAGUCUUUUCAGUAAUGGGAAGAAGGCGGCAGAGGACAAAACUAAGGCAUCGUUAUAAUGUUCAUCUGCAGAGACCUUACGGAUCAUUAAAAGCGCACGACACGGAGAUAGUAAGCCACACGGAAGAGCCUGAGCUUAGACGAUGGGUGAACAACGGGAAAUCCGGGCAGUGUCCGCGUGGGCUUGGCAAGGAGACCCCACAAGGAGGUCAUUCUCUCCUCAGUGUGCGGACAACAGCAUCCAUCCGACUCAGAGGCUGUGAGCUGUUCACCGUCCUUGUGAGACGUGGGCCUGAAGACACAGCUGGAGUUCUUGUCAUUGCGGAAUUCAGCCGAGUUUAUAAUUAA